This 83-nucleotide transfer RNA is filed under the name Mesitornis unicolor (brown roatelo). It matches the Rfam family "tRNA". From Rfam's summary of the family: Transfer RNA (tRNA) molecules are approximately 80 nucleotides in length. Their secondary structure includes four short double-helical elements and three loops (D, anti-codon, and T loops). Lineage: Eukaryota; Metazoa; Chordata; Aves; Mesitornithiformes; Mesitornithidae. The record is from Rfam by way of RNAcentral.
GUCAGGAUGGCCAAGUGGUCUAAGGCCCUGUGUUCAGGUUGCAGUCUCCCUUGGAGGUGUAGGUUUGAAUCCCACUACUAACA